GAAAAAUGGCUGAGCGGUCAAAAGCGAUAAAUUGUAAAUUUAUUUCUUUACGUGUCCGUUGGUUCGAAUCCAACUUUUUCC
Molecule: transfer RNA, 81 nt
Filed under: uncultured eukaryote
Lineage: Eukaryota
Rfam family: tRNA
About the family: Transfer RNA (tRNA) molecules are approximately 80 nucleotides in length.
Source: RNAcentral